UACGGGGGGGGCAAGCGUUGUUCGGAAUUACUGGGCGUAAAGGGCUUGUAGGUGGCCAACUAAGUCCGACGUGAAAUCCCUAGGCUUAACCUAGGAACUGCGUCGGAUACUGGAUGGCUUGAAUCCGGGAGAGGGAUGCGGAAUUCCAGGUGUAGCGGUGAAAUGCGUAGAUAUCAGGAGGAACACCGGUGGCGAAGGCGGGUCUCUGGGCAGUAACUGACGCUGAGGAGCGAAAGCGUGGGGAGCGAACAGG
This 253-nucleotide ribosomal RNA is filed under the name uncultured bacterium. Its description in RNAcentral is "partial 16S ribosomal RNA". It matches the Rfam family "Bacterial small subunit ribosomal RNA", at positions 524 to 776 of the family's 1533-position model. The record is from RNAcentral.